RNAcentral lists this ribosomal RNA (911 nucleotides) under uncultured bacterium. Its description in RNAcentral is "bacterial SSU rRNA". It matches the Rfam family "Bacterial small subunit ribosomal RNA", at positions 516 to 1427 of the family's 1533-position model. The record is from RNAcentral.
CGCGGUAAUACGUAGGGGGCGAGCGUUGUCCGGGAUUUACUGGGCGUAAAGGGUGAGUAGGCGGUAAUAUGUGUCAGAUGUAAAAGGCUAUGGCUUAACCAUAGUUGGCAUUUGAAACUGUAUUACUUGAGUGCAGGAGAGGUAAGUGGAAUUCCUAGUGUAGCGGUGAAAUGCGUAGAUAUUAGGAGGAACACCAGUGGCGAAGGCGACUUACUGGACUGUAACUGACGCUGAGUCACGAAAGCGUGGGUAGCAAACAGGAUUAGAUACCCUGGUAGUCCACGCUGUAAACGAUGAGUGCUAGGUGUUGGGUAGCGAUAUUCAGUGCCGAAGUAAACACAAUAAGCACUCCGCCUGGGGAGUACGGUCGCAAGACUGAAACUCAAAGGAAUUGACGGGGACCCGCACAAGCAGCGGAGCAUGUGGUUUAAUUCGAAGCAACGCGAAGAACCUUACCAAGGUUUGACAUCCCCUUGACAGAUGCAGAGAUGUGUCCUCCCCUUCGGGGGCAAGGGAGACAGGUGGUGCAUGGUUGUCGUCAGCUCGUGUCGUGAGAUGUUGGGUUAAGUCCCGCAACGAGCGCAACCCUUAUCCUUAGUUGCCAGCAGGUUAAGCUGGGCACUCUAAGGAGACUGCCGAUGAUAAAUCGGAGGAAGGUGGGGAUGACGUCAAAUCAUCAUGCCCCUUAUAUCUUGGGCUACACACGUGCUACAAUGGUCGGUACAAAGGGCAGCGAAGGAGUGAUCUGGAGCAAAUCCCAAUAAACCGAUCCCAGUUCGGAUUGUAGGCUGCAACUCGCCUACAUGAAGUCGGAGUUGCUAGUAAUCGCGAAUCAGAACGUCGCGGUGAAUGCGUUCCCGGGUCUUGUACACACCGCCCGUCACACCACGAGAGUUGGCAACACCCGAAGU